CCAGCAGCCGCGGUAAUUCCAGCUCCACUAGCGUAUAUUAAAGUUGUUGCAGUUAAAAAGCUCGUAGUUGAACUUCUGAUUAUUGAUAGUUUAGGUACUUGUAUCUGACUAUUGGUAGUCAUCCGUCUGCAAACUUUUACAGCCUUCACUGGUUUGUUUAAGGGAGCAGGCAUUUUACUUUGAAAAAAUUAGAGUGUUUAAGGCAGGCGUUAGCCUGAAUACAUUAGCAUGGAAUAAUGGAAUAGGAUUCUUGUCCAUUUGAUUGGUUAUUGGACUUGAAUAAUGAUUAAUAGGGACAGUUGGGGGCAUUAGUAUUUAAUUGUCAGAGGUGAAAUUCUUGGAUU
RNAcentral lists this ribosomal RNA (344 nucleotides) under uncultured eukaryote. RNAcentral describes it as "SSU rRNA". It matches the Rfam family "Eukaryotic small subunit ribosomal RNA", at positions 567 to 926 of the family's 1831-position model. The record is from RNAcentral.